AUUCACGCUGGCGGCGUGCAUCACACCUGCCAGUCGAACGAUGAAACUUAAAUGAUUUCUUCGGAAUGAACUUAAGUGGAUUAGUGGCGGACGGGUGAGUAACGCGUGAGUAACCUGCCUUACACAAGGGGAUAGCCGUUGGAAACGACGAAUAAUACCCUAUGAAACUAUCACUUCGCAUGAAGCGAUAGUCAAAGUGUUAGCGGUGUAAGAUGGACUUGCGUCUGAUUAGCUAGUUGGUGAGAAAAAAGCCCACCAAGGCAACGAUCAGUAGCCGGCUUGAGAGAGUGUACGGCCACAUUGGGACUGAGACACGGCCCAGACUCCUACGGGAGGCAGCAGUGGGGAAUUUUGCACAAUGGGGGAAACCCUGAUGCAGCGACGCCGCGUGAUUUAGAAGGCCUUCGGGUUGUAAAAAUCUUUUGUAUAGGAAGAAAAUGACAGUACUAUACGAAUAAGGUCCGGCUAAUUACGUG
Molecule: ribosomal RNA, 476 nt
Filed under: uncultured bacterium
Lineage: Bacteria
Description: partial 16S ribosomal RNA
Rfam family: Bacterial small subunit ribosomal RNA
Source: RNAcentral